GAUGAAGAACGUAGCGAAAUGCGAUAAGUAAUGUGAAUUGCAGAAUUCAGUGAAUCAUCGAAUCUUUGAACGCACCUUGCACCCUUUGGUAUUCCGAAGGGUAUGCUCGUUUGAGUGUCAUUGUACUCUCACACUUCUAAUUCCUUUCGGGAUUGGGAGCGGUGGACUUGGGUGUUGCUGCUUUAGUCGUGGCUCACCUCAAAUAAGUUAGUGCAACUCUUGGUUGGACAUAGUACGGCGUGAUAAGUGUCUUCGCCGGCGCCUCUGUAAGGAGGGUGGCCGAUCGGGAGCUCUGUGCUUCAAACCGUCUUCGGACAAUCUUUGACAACUUGACCUCAAAUCGAGUAGGACUACCCGCUGAACUUAAGCAUAUCAAUAAGCGGAGAA
This 387-nucleotide unclassified non-coding RNA is filed under the name soil metagenome. RNAcentral describes it as "partial contains 5.8S ribosomal RNA, internal transcribed spacer 2, and large subunit ribosomal RNA". The stretch from base 1 to 120 matches the Rfam family "5.8S ribosomal RNA", at positions 35 to 154 of the family's 154-position model. The record is from RNAcentral.